RNAcentral lists this ribosomal RNA (387 nucleotides) under uncultured bacterium. RNAcentral's name for it is "bacterial SSU rRNA". It matches the Rfam family "Bacterial small subunit ribosomal RNA", at positions 28 to 417 of the family's 1533-position model. The record is from RNAcentral.
GACGAACGCUGGCGGCGUGCUUAACACAUGCAAGUCGAGCGGUAAGGCCCUUCGGGGUACACGAGCGGCGAACGGGUGAGUAACACGUGGGUGACCUGCCUCUAGCUCUGGGAUAAGCCUGGGAAACUGGGUCUAAUACCGGAUAUGACUCCACGGCGCAUGUUGUGGGGUGGAAAGCCUUGUGUGGCUAGAGAUGGGCCCGCGGCCUAUCAGCUUGUUGGUGGGGUGAUGGCCUACCAAGGCGACGACGGGUAGCCGGCCUGAGAGGGCGACCGGCCACACUGGGACUGAGACACGGCCCAGACUCCUACGGGAGGGCAGCAGUGGGGAAUCUUGCGCAAUGGGCGAAAGCCUGACGCAGCGACGCCGCGUGAGGGAUGACGGCCU